Long non-coding RNA from Myotis lucifugus (little brown bat), 597 nucleotides. RefSeq lists it as uncharacterized. NCBI's taxonomy places the organism in Eukaryota, Metazoa, Chordata, Mammalia, Chiroptera, Vespertilionidae. The transcript has 2 exons. The record is from RefSeq and is a predicted model, not a curated record.
GUUUGCCAACUUCGACCGCGGCCUCGGCCACUCGACAAAACACGCCUCCUGGCCGCUGGCAGCAGCUCGCGACAAAAAAGGUUUCCUUCUUCCGCGUGGUUAUCCUUGGCCACGCGAUGGCCCUCAUUCUGUACACAAAGGCACCUUCUCGUCUAAAUGAACUUGGCUAAUGACGGCGAUGCUCUGGCAACUGAGUUGGAAACCGGGAGAGGAAGCGAGUUGAUGGCUAGAAGACAAACUUUCGGGGCAGGGGGAGGGGCGCGCAUGAUUUCUUUCAAAUAGCGAAGAGGAAAUAGUGGAACUUGAAACGCUCUCGCUGGAGGUCCGGCGUGAUCCGGCCAAUGCUCGCCUUUUGCUGGGUCGCAUAAUAUCAAAGCGAUUAUUAAAGCCGGUGAGACGGUCCGAGAGGAACCCGGGCACCUGUCGGGGCACACCUCGUUCCAAUGGGUGUCUUAUCUUCUCAAGCUGUCUCAAGGCCAAGAAAAGAAACAAAGUUGUUAAAGUUAUUUUUCACAGCCUGCAAACCCUUCAAAGGCACAAAAGCCAGAAAAAUGUAUCAAUACAUCCAGUUAUUUUGAUGCCAGGUCCAGGAAGUAA